CCUACGGGAGGCUGCAGUCGAGAAUCUUCGGCAAUGGGCGCAAGCCUGACCGAGCGACGCCGCGUGGAGGACGAAGGCCUUCGGGUUGUAAACUCCUGCGGGAGAACCCGCCGCUCCCUGGAGGAAGCACGGGCUAAGUUCGUGCCAGCAGCCGCGGUAAGACGAACCGUGCGAACGUUAUUCGGAAUCACUGGGCUUAAAGCGCGUGUAGGCGGGGCGGUGCGUCGUCGUUGAAAUCCCCCGGCUCAACCGGGGAAGGGGCGCCGAUACGACCGCCCUGGAGCGACGUAGGGGGAACUGGAACUUCCGGUGGAGCGGUGAAAUGCGUUGAGAUCGGAAGGAACGCCCGUGGCGAAAGCGAGUUCCUGGCGCGGCUGACGCUGAGACGCGAAAGCCAGGGGAGCGAACGGGAUUAGAUACCCUUGUAGUC
RNAcentral lists this ribosomal RNA (430 nucleotides) under uncultured bacterium. RNAcentral's name for it is "partial 16S ribosomal RNA". It matches the Rfam family "Bacterial small subunit ribosomal RNA", at positions 338 to 795 of the family's 1533-position model. The record is from RNAcentral.